This is a long non-coding RNA of Papaver somniferum (opium poppy), 1167 nucleotides long. RefSeq lists it as uncharacterized. The transcript is spliced from 4 exons. The record is from RefSeq and is a predicted model, not a curated record. NCBI's taxonomy places the organism in Eukaryota, Viridiplantae, Streptophyta, Magnoliopsida, Ranunculales, Papaveraceae.
UCCCAGAAAAAUGGACGUGGACCAAGAACACUUGGGGAUCCAGCAAGUCCUUGCAUGAGAUAUUCAUAACAAUGCUACUGUUUUACGGAAUAACAAAUCCAGCGGAGUGGAACCGAAUUGGAGACUGUUAUCCGAAGAUAUUCAGCAUGAACCAAACAAAGAAAUAGGUACGAUAUCCGAUAUGGAUGGAUUCUCUCAGAUUUUGUUCUUAAAAAAUCAGAAUUUAAUAGCGUACCAGAUCCGGUGAACAAUAUUUGGUUAAGAAGAUAAUGAAAUCAAAAAGGCUACGUGAUAUUGCUCACUGCGAAUGGAAAGUAUGGUUAGUUAUGUGGAUUCUUUUUUGUUGAUCCACUUUCUAUUAUCCACUCAGAAAUUGGAGGCAUACCAUAUGGCACUCUUGCAAUCCUCCCAGAGGCAUACCAUAUGGGCGCAGCAUGGCCCUCCUAAACAACAUGAAGGGAGAGAACUGUUGGUUGUUUCUGAGACGCAGAAGAGAAAAUAGUAAGCAAGUAGGUUUGGUAAGCAAAUUGGGUUGCUCUAUUUAUGGUAUAAAUUACUUUCUUAUAUAUUUUUGAAUGUCAUAUGUUCAUCAGUCGUUCAUGUAUGAUACCUUUGUUUUUUUGAUGGUAGUCCUAGAUUAGAUGCUACUGUUAUUGCCUAUUGAUGAUAUGUCACUCAAAUUAAGAGCAAUACUGAUAUUACUGUACCUGCAAAUAACCCUGACUCACUGUAAUAGUGCCUCUAUUUGCUCCCCUCUUUGUUUUCAUUGCAACGUCGAUUUGGACUCACUAACAUAAUGAAAAUCACUUUGUCGGUCGUGACAUGGUGAUCUUAAUGGAAAGUUCUCGGUCUGUUUGUGAAAUAGUAUUUGAGUCUCAAGCAGUGGAAGGUAAAUACAGUUCUAAUCUCCCAUUUGAUGUUAUUAUGUUUCGUCACUCUUUUGUUGUCAAGGAUUGGGGUCAUGCUAAAAGAGAUGCAAAGGGGUCUAUUAACAACAAAGAAGGGUAUCAAACAGUCUAAUAUUACCAGGUCACAUUAACAGUCUGUAAUUAGGCAUCAAUGUACAAAGAGUUUAAUUAGGUGCUUCACAUUUGGUAACUUAAUUUAUCUAUUGGUGAGAUAUAAUGAACAAUCUAUAGUAUAACUUCAUUUUUCAGAAAACGGCCC